Molecule: small nuclear RNA, 20 nt
Filed under: Arabidopsis thaliana (thale cress)
Lineage: Eukaryota; Viridiplantae; Streptophyta; Magnoliopsida; Brassicales; Brassicaceae
Description: snRNA_05966
Source: RNAcentral
CUGUUUGAACAGCUACUGUA